This 253-nucleotide ribosomal RNA is filed under the name uncultured bacterium. RNAcentral describes it as "partial 16S ribosomal RNA". It matches the Rfam family "Bacterial small subunit ribosomal RNA", at positions 524 to 776 of the family's 1533-position model. The record is from RNAcentral.
CACGUAGGGCGCAAGCGUUGUCCGGAAUUAUUGGGCGUAAAGAGCUCGUAGGCGGUCUGUUGCGUCCGCUGUGAAAACUCGGGGCUUAACCCCGAGCCUGCAGUGGAUACGGGCAGACUAGAGGUAGGUAGGGGAGAAUGGAAUUCCCGGUGUAGCGGUGAAAUGCGCAGAUAUCAGGAGGAACACCGGUGGCGAAGGCGGGUCUCUGGGCAGUAACUGACGCUGAGGAGCGAAAGCGUGGGGAGCGAACAGG